Molecule: ribosomal RNA, 250 nt
Filed under: uncultured bacterium
Lineage: Bacteria
Description: partial 16S ribosomal RNA
Rfam family: Bacterial small subunit ribosomal RNA
Source: RNAcentral
UACGUAGGGGGCAAGCGUUAUCCGGAUUUACUGGGUGUAAAGGGAGCGUAGGUGGCCAAAUAAGUCAGAUGUGAAAGCCCAGGGCUCAACCCUGGGAUUGCAUUUGAAACUAUCUGGCUAGAGUGCAGGAGAGGUAAGUGGAAUUCCUAGUGUAGCGGUGAAAUGCGUAGAUAUUAGGAGGAACACCAGUGGCGAAGGCGGCUUACUGGACUGUAACUGACACUGAGGCUCGAAAGCGUGGGGAGCAAAC